GACGAACGCUGGCGGCGUGCUUAACACAUGCGAGUCGAACGGAAAGGCCCUGCUUUUGUGGGGUGCUCGAGUGGCGAACGGGUGAGUAACACGUGAGUAACCUGCCCUUGACUUUGGGAUAACUUCAGGAAACUGGGGCUAAUACCGGAUAGGAGCUCCUGCUGCAUGGUGGGGGUUGGAAAGUUUCGGCGGUUGGGGAUGGACUCGCGGCUUAUCAGCUUGUUGGUGGGGUAGUGGCUUACCAAGGCUUUGACGGGUAGCCGGCCUGGGAGGGUGACCGGCCACAGUGGGACUGAGGUACGGGCCAGACUCCUACGGGAGGCAGCAGUGGGGAAUAUUGCACAAUGGGCGGAAGCCUGAUGCAGCAACGCCGCGUGCGGGAUGACGGCCUUCGGGGUGUAAACCGCUUUCGCCUGGGACGAAGCGUGAGUGACGGUAAUGGGUAAAGAAGCACCGGCUAACUACGUG
This 468-nucleotide ribosomal RNA is filed under the name uncultured bacterium. RNAcentral describes it as "partial 16S ribosomal RNA". It matches the Rfam family "Bacterial small subunit ribosomal RNA", at positions 28 to 507 of the family's 1533-position model. The record is from RNAcentral.